AACGAACGCUGGCGGCGCGCCUAAUACAUGCAAGUCGAGCGAGAAGACGUAGCAAUACGUUUGUAAAGCGGCGAACGGGUGAGGGAAUACAUGGGUAACCUACCCUCGAGUGGGGAAUAACUAGGCCGAAAGGUUAGCUAAUACCGCGUACGCUCCUUGGACUUCGGUUCAGGGAGGAAAGCGAUACCGUGGGUAUCGCGCUCUUGGAUGGGGCUCAUGUCCUAUCAGCUUGUUGGUGAGGAACGGCUCACCAAGGCUUCGACGGGUAGCUGGUCUGAGAGGACGAUCAGCCACACUGGCACU
This 303-nucleotide ribosomal RNA is filed under the name uncultured bacterium. RNAcentral's name for it is "bacterial SSU rRNA". It matches the Rfam family "Bacterial small subunit ribosomal RNA", at positions 29 to 320 of the family's 1533-position model. The record is from RNAcentral.